GGAAGGCUGGCUUGGACGGCACUCUUGUUAACCCGGUCAGGUCGGGAACGAAGCAGCCGCAUGCGAGUCCUUGUCGGGUCAGGUUCAGUCUUCCACC
This 97-nucleotide signal recognition particle RNA is filed under the name Hellea sp. Its description in RNAcentral is "signal recognition particle sRNA small type". It matches the Rfam family "Bacterial small signal recognition particle RNA". From Rfam's summary of the family: The signal recognition particle (SRP) is a universally conserved ribonucleoprotein involved in the co-translational targeting of proteins to membranes. Lineage: Bacteria; Pseudomonadati; Pseudomonadota; Alphaproteobacteria; Maricaulales; Robiginitomaculaceae. The record is from RNAcentral.